UACGUAGGUGGCAAGCGUUGUCCGGAUUUACUGGGCGUAAAGGGCGCGUAGGCGGUCAGCACAAGUCAGUUGUGAAAUCUCCGAGCUUAACUCGGAAAGGUCAACUGAUACUGUGCGACUAGAGUGCGGAAGGGGCAACUGGAAUUCUUGGUGUAGCGGUGAAAUGCGUAGAUAUCAAGAGGAACACCUGCGGCGAAGGCGGGUUGCUGGGCCGACACUGACGCUGAGGCGCGAAAGCUAGGGGAGCGAACGGG
Molecule: ribosomal RNA, 254 nt
Filed under: uncultured bacterium
Lineage: Bacteria
Description: partial 16S ribosomal RNA
Rfam family: Bacterial small subunit ribosomal RNA
Source: RNAcentral